ACGCACGCUGGCGGCGUGCUUAACACCUGCAAGUCGAACGGAAAGGCCCUGCUUUUGUGGGGUGCUCGAGUGGCGAACGGGUGAGUAACACGUGAGUAACCUGCCCUUGACUUUGGGAUAACUUCAGGAAACUGGGGCUAAUACCGGAUAGGAGCUCCUGCUGCAUGGUGGGGGUUGGAAAGUUUCGGCGGUUGGGGAUGGACUCGCGGCUUAUCAGCUUGUUGGUGGGGUAGUGGCUUACCAAGGCUUUGACGGGUAGCCGGCCUGAGAGGGUGACCGGCCACAUUGGGACUGAGAUACGGCCCAGACUCCUACGGGAGGCAGCAGUGGGGAAUAUUGCACAAUGGGCGGAAGCCUGAUGCAGCAACGCCGCGUGCGGGAUGACGGCCUUCGGGUUGUAAACCGCUUUCGCCUGUGACGAAGCGUGAGUGACGGUAAUGGGUAAAGAAGCACCGGCUAACUACGCG
This 467-nucleotide ribosomal RNA is filed under the name uncultured bacterium. Its description in RNAcentral is "partial 16S ribosomal RNA". It matches the Rfam family "Bacterial small subunit ribosomal RNA", at positions 29 to 507 of the family's 1533-position model. The record is from RNAcentral.